Non-coding RNA from Carica papaya (papaya), 569 nucleotides. NCBI's taxonomy places the organism in Eukaryota, Viridiplantae, Streptophyta, Magnoliopsida, Brassicales, Caricaceae. The record is from RefSeq and is a predicted model, not a curated record.
UCGGGGGGGAGGAUUGCUUGGUGGCUCAGGUUAUGGUAAUCCAAUUAACUGAAUGAACACAUGAAAAGGAAAGUCUUUUGAUUAAAAGCCAGUGAAGUCUCUGGGAUGGAUUGGAUUUUCACUUCUUGGUCUAGUUCAUCUCCAGCCUGCUAAUUAUGGAUAGAGUUUUUGAUCUUUUGUCAUUUGCCUGGAAGGAUCAUCAACAUCAUAUUCCCAGAAAGAAGCUACAUUUUCACCUGUCGUUAGGAUGAUAUCAUGUGUUGUACCAAAUCACAAGAUAUAGAAAAAUAAAUGUGAAUCAUCAUCCUGUGUUAGAGAGAGAUUAUUCUAUGAUAAUUUCUUGAAAGUCUUUAAUUUAUCUUAUGGUAAUUAGAAACUCCUUUGUUAAGUCUUUAGUUUAUCUUAAAGUUGUUGCCUUUCCUUCAAAUCAAACAACUAGCUCUUGGUGUUAAGUGUUUACUAUUUCCCUUUUGUAAUUCCCUUUGUUCAAUUUGAUUCUUGUUUGACAAAGGUGAAAUCUACAGUGUAAAGUGAUAUUUUCAUCAUAUGAUAAGACAUUUUGGUAAGGA